Molecule: ribosomal RNA, 253 nt
Filed under: uncultured bacterium
Lineage: Bacteria
Description: partial 16S ribosomal RNA
Rfam family: Bacterial small subunit ribosomal RNA
Source: RNAcentral
UACGAAGGGGGCUAGCGUUGUCCGGAAUCAUUGGGCGUAAAGCGCGUGUAGGCGGUCCGGUAAGUCCGCUGUGAAAGUCGGGGGCUCAACCCUCGGAUGCCGGUGGAUACUGUCGGGCUUGAGUACGGAAGAGGCGAGUGGAAUUCCUGGUGUAGCGGUGAAAUGCGCAGAUAUCAGGAGGAACACCAAUUGCGAAGGCAGCUCGCUGGGACGUGACUGACGCUGAGACGCGAAGGCGUGGGGAGCGAACGGG